RNAcentral lists this ribosomal RNA (380 nucleotides) under Ochrobactrum sp. C-03. Its description in RNAcentral is "bacterial SSU rRNA". It matches the Rfam family "Bacterial small subunit ribosomal RNA", at positions 938 to 1318 of the family's 1533-position model. The record is from RNAcentral. Lineage: Bacteria; Pseudomonadati; Pseudomonadota; Alphaproteobacteria; Hyphomicrobiales; Brucellaceae.
CAUGUGGUUUAAUUCGAAGCAACGCGCAGAACCUUACCAGCCCUUGACAUACCGGUCGCGGACACAGAGAUGUGUCUUUCAGUUCGGCUGGACCGGAUACAGGUGCUGCAUGGCUGUCGUCAGCUCGUGUCGUGAGAUGUUGGGUUAAGUCCCGCAACGAGCGCAACCCUCGCCCUUAGUUGCCAGCAUUUAGUUGGGCACUCUAAGGGGACUGCCAGUGAUAAGCUGGAGGAAGGUGGGGAUGACGUCAAGUCCUCAUGGCCCUUACGGGCUGGGCUACACACGUGCUACAAUGGUGGUGACAGUGGGCAGCGAGCACGCGAGUGUGAGCUAAUCUCCAAAAGCCAUCUCAGUUCGGAUCGCACUCUGCAACUCGAGUG